CAGUAGCCGCGGUAAUACGAGGGGGGCAAGCGUUGUUCGGAAUUAUUGGGCGUAAAGGGUGCGUAGGCGGUCUGAUAAGUCUUAUGUGAAAUCUAUGGGCUCAACCCAUAGUCUGCAUAGGAAACUGUCGGGCUUGAGAGUGGGAGAGGUGAGUGGAAUUUCCGGUGUAGCGGUGAAAUGCGUAGAUAUCGGAAGGAACACCUGUGGCGAAAGCGGCUCACUGGACCAUUUCUGACGCUGAUGCACGAAAGCUAGGGGAGCAAACAGGAUUAGAUACCCGCGUAGUCCCUGUCUCUUAUAA
Molecule: ribosomal RNA, 301 nt
Filed under: uncultured bacterium
Lineage: Bacteria
Description: partial 16S ribosomal RNA
Rfam family: Bacterial small subunit ribosomal RNA
Source: RNAcentral